GACGAACGCUGGCGGCGUGCUUAACACAUGCAAGUCGAGCGAUGAAUUUUCUUCGGAAAUGGAUUAGCGGCGAACGGGUGAGGAACACGUGAAGAAUCUGCCCUCCACUUUGGGAUAACACAGGGAAACCUGUGCUAAUACCGAAUAUUGAAACAUAAGUGGCAUCACUGAGUUUUGAAAGAAUUUCGGUGGGGGAGGACUUCGCGGCCUAUCAGCUAGUUGGUGAGGUAAUGGCUCCCCAAGGCAACGACGGGUAGCCGGCCUGAGAGGGCGACCGGCCGCACUGGGACUGAGACACGGCCCAGACUCCUACGGGAGGCAGCAGUGGGGAAUAUUGGGCAAUGGAGGAAACUCUGACCCAGCGACGCCGCGUGCGGGAUGAAGGCCUUCGGGUUGUAAACCGCUUUCAGUAGGGAAGAAGCGAAAGUGACGGUACCUACAAAAGAAGCACCGGCUAACUAUGUGCCAGCAGCCGCCGUAA
Molecule: ribosomal RNA, 481 nt
Filed under: uncultured bacterium
Lineage: Bacteria
Description: partial 16S ribosomal RNA
Rfam family: Bacterial small subunit ribosomal RNA
Source: RNAcentral